UUUUUUUUUUUUACUUUUUCUUGAACCCCGAAAUUUUCUCUUUUUUCGUUUUCUUGAACCCCGAAAUUUUCUUUCGCGCUAAUGAUCCCGGAUCACUGCAUUUGAACCCCGACAUCUUGUUUGCCAAAAUAAUGAACCCCGUUCUCUCCAUUUUGAACCCCAGUCGCCUGACGAUAACUUGCGAUCGCCAUUGUGAACCCCAUUCUCCAGAAAAUGCCUCAACAUUUCCCUUUCUCCAUUUGAACCCCGCUCUCCAGAAAAUGCCUCAAC
Molecule: long non-coding RNA, 270 nt
Filed under: Lathyrus oleraceus (garden pea)
Lineage: Eukaryota; Viridiplantae; Streptophyta; Magnoliopsida; Fabales; Fabaceae
Description: Pisum sativum (pea) long non-coding RNA (PSAT_LNC016069)
Source: RNAcentral